Long non-coding RNA from Cheilinus undulatus (humphead wrasse), 620 nucleotides. RefSeq lists it as uncharacterized. NCBI's taxonomy places the organism in Eukaryota, Metazoa, Chordata, Actinopteri, Labriformes, Labridae. The transcript has 3 exons. The record is from RefSeq and is a predicted model, not a curated record.
GUCGCCUCCACCGGCGCAGAUGCUCACUUGUGAAGGUGUCGCCGAUGAUCGCGACGCUCGCGCGGACCCCAGCCGAUCAGCGCUGCAAAACCUAUGUGACGCACUCCUGCUCCUCUCAGGUGUUCACAGACAUCAUGAAUCGGGUCGUGGUUAUGCUGUGGAGCUUUGGACGUCGCUAUUUAAAGAGGUUUUGAACACGUUUUUAAACAUUUUUUUUAAUUGUACAUAAAAAUACAUCAGUGCUGUUGUUAUUUAUGACAUCUGCACCAAACUGUUAAAAAUCUGAAUUUUAUGGCUUUUAAUUAGCACAAAUGGACACCGGCUUCAAAAAUUAUUUUCUGAAAAGGCAUGGCUUAUGUGACUUGGAAUCUACCAUCCCAAAAUUAUAUGAAAGGUAGAAUCUUUCCGCUUCAAACCAACUUUACCAUUCAGAGACCACUCCCAUCCUCUCCUGUACCUGUACUGCCUCUGCUCCGGUUUUGGUAAUGCCGGUGCUGGAGCCAAUGGCCCAAAUAGGUAGUGCUCAGGACUACCACGGUCCACCACCACACUACAGCCUGCUUCAGGGGACUCUGGAGGGGAAAAAAUCCUCCACCUCAAAAGAUCGCUCUGAGGCAGCA